UACAGAGGUCCCGAGCGUUGUUCGGAUUCAUUGGGCGUAAAGGGUGCGUAGGCGGCGGGGUAAGUCUGAUGUGAAAUCCCGGGGCUCAACCCUGGAACUGCAUUGGAUACUGCCUUGCUUGAGAACUGGAGAGGAGACUGGAAUUACGGUGUAGCAGUGAAAUGCGUAGAGAUCGUAAGGAAGACCAGUGGCGAAGGCGAGUCUCUGGACAGUAUCUGACGCUGAGGCACGAAGGCCAGGGGAGCAAACGGG
This 252-nucleotide ribosomal RNA is filed under the name uncultured bacterium. RNAcentral's name for it is "partial 16S ribosomal RNA". It matches the Rfam family "Bacterial small subunit ribosomal RNA", at positions 524 to 776 of the family's 1533-position model. The record is from RNAcentral.